RNAcentral lists this non-coding RNA (21 nucleotides) under Arabidopsis thaliana (thale cress). The record is from RNAcentral. Lineage: Eukaryota; Viridiplantae; Streptophyta; Magnoliopsida; Brassicales; Brassicaceae.
UUAUGUUAACUUUCAACAUAC